This 207-nucleotide small RNA is filed under the name Mycobacterium celatum. RNAcentral's name for it is "c-di-AMP sequence". It matches the Rfam family "c-di-AMP riboswitch aptamer (ydaO/yuaA leader)". Rfam says of the family: This family represents a conserved RNA structure found upstream of the ydaO and yuaA genes in Bacillus subtilis and related genes in other bacteria. The ydaO/yuaA element is thought to act as a genetic "off" switch for the ydaO and yuaA genes in its native state. Lineage: Bacteria; Bacillati; Actinomycetota; Actinomycetes; Mycobacteriales; Mycobacteriaceae. The record is from RNAcentral.
CCGCUUGUAGCGCCGAGCUCCAUCCAGCAGGCGGGGGCCGACGACAACCGUGGAUGGAGGCGGGGGACCCAACCAGUCCGCCGUGAUCGGACCGGGGCCGUCCGCGGCUCCUUGGGGUGAAGCCACCGCGGUGGCCGGGCAGCCCUCUCUUGUUGCAUCCAGCCCGAACCCGACAGCUGACCUCGUAGGCGCAUACAGAGAGGACAU